CACCAGGUUGAUUCUGCCUGACGUAGACGCUAUUCCCUAAGAUUAACCCAUGCAUGUUUUUGACAUUUGAAAAAUGGACUGCUCAGUAAUACUCACUUUAUUUUAUGUAAAUUUUUGAUUAAUUAACUACGUUAAAGUGUAGAUAAGAUGUUUACAGUAAGAGUGAGACCUAUCAGCUAGUUGUUAAGGUAAUGGCUUAACAAGGCUGUGACGGGUAACGGUAUUACUUUGUAAUAUUCCGGAGAAGGAGCCUGAGAGACGGCUACUAAGUCUAAGGAUUGUGCAGCAGGGGCGAAACUUGACCUAUGGAUUUUAUCUGAGGCAGUUAUGGGAAGUAAUAUUAUAUUGUUUCAUAUUUUAAAAGUAUAUGAGGUGAUUAAUUGGAGGGCAAAUCAAGUGCCAGCAGCCGCGGUAAUACUUGUUCCAAGAGUGUGUAUGAUGAUUGAUGCAGUUAAAAAGUCCGUAGUUUAUUUUUUUAAGAAGCAAUAUGAGGUGUACUGUAUAGUUGGGAGAAAGAUGAAAUGUGACGACCCUGACUGGACGAACAGAAGCGAAAGCU
This 559-nucleotide ribosomal RNA is filed under the name Vairimorpha ceranae. RNAcentral describes it as "SSU rRNA". It matches the Rfam family "Microsporidia small subunit ribosomal RNA", at positions 1 to 606 of the family's 1311-position model. Lineage: Eukaryota; Fungi; Microsporidia; Nosematidae. The record is from RNAcentral.